GUGUUCGCUUCAGCAGCACAUAUUCUAAAAUGGGAACCAUACAGAGAACAGCAUGCUCCCUGCGCAAGCAUGACAUGCACAUUCAUGAACCGUUCCAUGUAUUU
This is a small nuclear RNA of Colobus angolensis palliatus, 104 nucleotides long. NCBI's taxonomy places the organism in Eukaryota, Metazoa, Chordata, Mammalia, Primates, Cercopithecidae. The record is from Ensembl.